CCCUUAGAUGUUCUGGGCCGCACGCGCGCUACACUGAUGCAUUCAACGAGUCUAAAACCUGCUCUGAUAGGGGUGGGUAAUCUUUUGAAUGUGCAUCGUGAUUGGGAUAGAUGAUUGCAAUUAUUGGUCUCCAACGAGGAAUUCCUAGUAAACGCAAGUCAUCAGCUUGCAUUGAUUACGUCCCUGCCCUUUGUACACACCGCCCGUCGCACCUACCGAUUGAAUGGUCCGGUGAAAUCUUCGGAUUGAGACUUUGAUUUCUUCACGGAAAACGCUGUUUUAAAAAGUUGAUUAAACCUUACCAUUUAGAGGAAGGUGAAGUCGUAACA
This 329-nucleotide ribosomal RNA is filed under the name uncultured eukaryote. RNAcentral describes it as "partial 18S ribosomal RNA". It matches the Rfam family "Eukaryotic small subunit ribosomal RNA", at positions 1470 to 1796 of the family's 1831-position model. The record is from RNAcentral.